AGAAUUUUCUCUCUCUUUCUCUGCAAUAUUGUUCUUCUACUUUUAUUGUUUUAUCACAAAAUACCUUUUGUAGAUGCUGCUAAAAUAAAUUAGUCAUGUUGGGCCGUGCACAGCACGGGCUGAACCUUACUAGUAUAUAUAUAUAAGCGAGAGAAGAGUGUACGAACGCAGCAUUACAUCAUUGUGCAAAAAGUAACCUGGAUUGUACGUACCUUAGAUUUGUAUUGAUAUCAUUGGUGAUUCAAUUUAUUUACCCUCACUUCAAUUUCCACUUUACUUCCACUUCUGAUUCUUCUCAUUUGUUUUUUAGUCCGUCCUUGCUCUUUCUCUUUCUCUGCCAGUUUGACAUUUUGAUAUCUUCUUUGUUAUUCAUUCUCUCAGCAAAAAGUUAUUAAUUUCCCUAAAUUGGUUUGACUUCACAUAGGAAACACUCUUAUGUCUCCAGCUCCAGAACGCUCAAAAUCAACUUUCAUACGGUUUCCGUCUCCUGCUUCAGUUUCAGAGAUAAAAAUAAUAUGCUCUUCUCCUUCUCCUUCAAAGGUCGUCUACCUCUUCGAGUGAGUUUCUCAACUUUUUCUAUCUUCCUUUUCUCUUGGAGUUCGCUGAUGUCUUUUGUGCAUGCCGCCUUCUCUGUCCUUGUGAGCUUUUCGGCAUUCUUUCUCUGUUUAAGAUAUCCAGUUGUUGCUAAUUGAACUUUGGUAGACCUCUAUUACAGUCAUCUACUUUUCUGAUAGGUUUUUCAUUUUUGUUGGAUUUUUUACAUACUUUAUUUAAUUUAAGAAUACAUGUUUGGAAUAAGAUACAUUCAUACAAAAUUUUGAUAUUUGAUGAACACAAACUUUAUUUUCGGGCAAUCAACCUUAAUUCCCUAUUUCCCCUCUUUAUUUUGGGAAUUUUGUUUAUCUAUUUUUCUGUUAAUUUCUACAAAUAUCUACUCACUUCAUUCCUAUUUGAAGCUCUAAGAUUGUUGGUAUGGGGAUAAGUAAGUGAUGUAAGCAAGAUUAAUAACGACUUGAUUACAAAUGACAAAAUAUUGAACUAGAGUAGUAUACAUUACACUCUUUUUUAAAUCUCAUUGUUUGAGUUAUUUGAGGCACCUAACCCUCAGGGUUGGCCUGGUGGCAAUUGACUUGAGCCUUGGGGUUUGCUCCCUUUCAAGGUCUCAUGUUCGAAACCCACUGGGUGCAAACAAUUUCUGAGGGUCAUCGGACUGGGUAACACCUGAAUUAACCGUGGUGCACUUGCGGGAAACUCCUUGCCGAGGGCCUGUGCACCCCGGGAUUAGUCGGGGCUCUUAGAAACUCGGACACCCGGUGCAAAUCCCAAAAAAAAAAAAGUUAUUUGAGGCACCCCAAAUGUUCGACGAUAUGUCAAAAAUAAUUAACUACAUAAUAUUUUUUUUUUCCUUUUGACUGCUCUUCUAUCGUUCAUUGUGUGUAUUUCUACUACAAGAUUGCCUCUGUUUGUUUCUAAUUUAAAAACGUGCCACUUUUUAUCUAACUUUACCUUUUCAAGAAAAAAUAAAGAUGACUUUAAAGUUGCUCAAAAUUACCCAAAUUGUAAAUAUAAUUUUAUGAAGUUAUAAUUGAACUAUUUGGAACAUGAGUAUUGAAAGAUAAAGAUAUUGCUGAGCCGAAGGUUGGGGGUUUAGAUUAUCCAUUUCUUUGCAUGACCUUCUUUUGAUAGACUUGAGUGUUCCAAUGAUGGUGAAGAAGUUGGUCGAUUAAAAUAGACAAGAAGGAGGACAUUUAUUACGCUAUUUUUGUACCUUGUGAAGAGCAAAAUCAACUGCUCCUCUUUGUUGUAAGAUUACUUGAAAGUUAAAACAUCAGAGGUUUAAUACAAUAGGUGAUUGAUGGUCAAAAGUUGGAAACAAGAGAAGUGUUAAGAAAAGCGAUGAAGAUGUUGUGUGUUUACAUAUUUAACCUAAGGUUUCACUACUUGUGCCACUUAGAUCUCCAGGAUAUAUGAAGUGUUAAUGCCAUCUAUAUUCGAGCUGAUGAAAUCUUAACACUUUGGGGAGCAUAGGUCAUCCUGAAUGGAGUAAAAGUAGCAUAAGACAUUAUGAGUGGAAGAGCUCAAGGCGAAUGUCUUGAAUAGCGACAAAGGUUAUACAAAGUUACAAUAUUGUUUGUAUUCUGUAUUUAAAUCCAAUUUAGUGAGUCACACUCUUCGUUUUACUUCUUUGAUAUUUGUUCGUGGUUGAGAAUAUUUUGUGGAUGUAGUAAUCUAACAGCUAUUACUUAUGUUUGUGUUCAAGAAAUUCAUUGAAACAUAUAUCAUUUGUUUGCAUCUGUUUCAAUUGCAGUUUGGUAUUAACCGCCUAAUUUUGUGUCUAUCAGUAUCAGAAAAAAUUAGAAUUAUACCAAAUUUAAAAUUUUACUUCAACAAAAUAAAAAGACUUGGAACAGGAAUGUCGACAAAUAGAGGGUCAAGAAGAGUAAGUGAUAUCAUUCUCUAUUCUUGCUUCUUCUUUUUUAACCCCUGGUCUAUAUUUCUUCUUUUCAUUUUGUUUUGGUAUUGAAAUUGGCAGCUCAAGGGUGUUGAAAAGAAAAGAACAUGUGGUACCUGUAAUUCUGGAGAUUAGUCAAAUUAUAAAUGGCAAUAUCACCAACACUAUGAAUGUCUUUGUUUGUCAUAUGAUAGUGUUUGCAAAUAACUGCUUGGUUUUGCAGAAAUUGAAGCUAUAACUUUGGUUCUUGUAAGUGUUUGCCAAUUUUGAUGUUAAUAUUUUUGAAAAGCAAUGUGGUCAUGUGUAGGGAGAUUGUAAUGUUACUGUCCAUGUAUAGUCCUGCACGCAGCGUUGAAGAUGUCUUAACUUUUAGAAAGGAACUUUUCCCCGAGACAGUAGUGGUGCUUCUUGGCCAUAAUAUUAGAUUGCUUUCUUAUAUCUAGAAACCCAAAUGUGAGGUGAUAUGAUGUAGACAAUUCUCAUGGUUAAUAGCAUAUAUUUAACUAGUAUUAUUUUUCUUAAGGUUCUUGAUACUAUUAUAUUCAUUAGUGCUGUUGUAGCUGGAAUUUCAAAUAUUUGGUGGUUUAGGGUUGCGGACAGUUCCAGUAGUUAAUAAUUUGAUACUUGUUAACCGUGAAUCAUAUUCUGAUUACUUGGUUGUGUAGCAAUCUGGAAUUCAAAUUGUGAGGUGGUUUACAUAAGUUAAUAAUGUAUCCCGUUCUUAUUUUGGGAUAGAUUUGAUCAUGUUAUAAUAUUCUUUCACGUUAUUGCAGCUGAAAUCCCAAAUGUGAUAUUGUUGCAGCAAAUCAUUCACAUGGGAACAAUGCUUGUGAAGAGCAUAAGAUGGUGGAUGUGCUUUAUGUAAUAGUAGUAGUUUUACUCCAUCCAGUUUGUUGUACAUAUCUGUAGUGUGGUUUGUUUUCAUAGAAACAACGUGACUUGACUAUGUUAAUGUUUUGGUUUCUUUUUAAUUCUAAGCUCUAUUUCAGCUCCCAAUUCUGCCGUCUUCAACAUUUUUCAAACAAAACUAAUUCUAUGUCCUUUGGUUGUUUGAAGUCAGCUUUGUAAUUAUAUUUGCCGGUACUGAGAAAAGUUCAACUUUUUCCUUAUUUAGUUUUUGAAGUGGACUUUGUGCAUUUAUAACUAAAGUGACUGUACAAAAAAUAUCUUUUGUAUAUGUUGUUGGUAUAAUGCAAUGACGCUUGGAAUAACAAAGUUGUUAACAACCCUUUACUGAAAGACUUCAGAUAAACUAGAAAACAAAAAUAAUCAUGGGCAUUGCACGGGCAUACCUUGCUAGUUUUUUUUUAUAAAUAAAAGACAUAAAGUCUGUAUGAGUUACAGAAGUAAGUCAUCAAGAAAUGGGGUGCUAAAUGGUAGAUUGACCAUCCCAGAAGCCACAAGAAAUGCAAGAAUCCACAAGGGUAGAAUCCAUUUGAACACAACAACUAAAAUCUUCUUUCCUGUGACAACAAACAAAAGUUCAAGAUUGUUAAGCAUUUAAUAAAAGAAGUAAAUAUAAAAGGAAUUUAUUACCAGCAGAGGCAGAUGUGUCUUCAGUUUUAUCAAUAAGCCAUUCACCAGUUUCCCUUAGCUUCUUUUCCACAUCUGCUUCAUUCUCCCCAACAGAAUUUGACAAAAUUGAAUCAAACAAAGUCUUGCUCUCCUUUGCUUCCCUUAACAAAUGAAUCUUUUCUUAGAUUAGCUACACAGUAUUUGAUUACACUUAUGUAUCUUCAGCUUUUUAAAUUCAUUUGCUCCCUUGCUAGGAGAAAGUAUGUAAACCAAAAUGAUCAAAUUUAACACAGUGAUAAUAUCUCUCCUAAAAUACACAAGCUUUACAGAAAGAUUCAGUAAAAUAGCAACACCAAGAUAGUAGUAGUAUGUUCGAUAAAGUAAAAGGGUAUUUGCCUGCUGGUAUCUCUGUCUCGGAAAAUGCCAGCACCAAUGGCUCUUUCAAUCUCUGCGACUGAAAGUUGCCUUUGAUUCUGCUUCUUUUUCUUCUGCAGCUCCAGUCUUGGUUGGGAUUUGAGGAGUGAAGGGUCUAAGUUAUUAGAAGGAGAAGGAACAAAAGGUGAAGGGUCAGUGGGUGGAG
Molecule: long non-coding RNA, 4547 nt
Filed under: Nicotiana tabacum (common tobacco)
Lineage: Eukaryota; Viridiplantae; Streptophyta; Magnoliopsida; Solanales; Solanaceae
Description: long non-coding RNA (NTAB_LNC004170)
Source: RNAcentral